This 314-nucleotide ribosomal RNA is filed under the name uncultured bacterium. RNAcentral's name for it is "bacterial SSU rRNA". It matches the Rfam family "Bacterial small subunit ribosomal RNA", at positions 28 to 334 of the family's 1533-position model. The record is from RNAcentral.
GAUGAACGCUAGCUACAGGCUUAACACAUGCAAGUCGAGGGGCAGCAUGAACUUAGCUUGCUAAGUUUGAUGGCGACCGGCGCACGGGUGAGUAACACGUAUCCAACCUGCCGAUGACUCGGGGAUAGCCUUUCGAAAGAAAGAUUAAUACCCGAUGGCAUAGUUCUUCCGCAUGGUAGAACUAUUAAAGAAUUUCGGUCAUCGAUGGGGAUGCGUUCCAUUAGCUUGUUGGCGGGGUAACGGCCCACCAAGGCAUCGAUGGAUAGGGGUUCUGAGAGGAAGGUCCCCCACAUUGGGACUGAGAUACGGCCCAG